AAAUUUAAAAAAACUGUUUUUCUUUACAGGUCCUUCUAGUUGGUGGUAAAGACUUUACUUUAGUUGGUCGUCCCUUGUUAAAGUCUGAUAUGGUUCGUGUAGAAGCCACAGUUAUUGAACAGACGUUGUCACAUUUAGUGACACAUUUUAAACUCAUUCCUCGUAAAAAUUCAAGAAGAAUGAACUUUUACAGAUUUCCCCUGACCAUGCUGAGAAUCAACAGUAUUGAAAUUAUGACUUCUGAUAUUAACAGCAUGUCUAGUAUAGAAGGGAUUCAAGACAGAAUUUUUUGACCUUUUCUGUUGAUGUGAUUUUUGAUACAGUACUGUUUAACACAAUAUCACUGGUAUAGCAUUUCUCAGUAUAAUAUUGUAAAAAAGUUGGUACCAUGCUACCUUUUAAUAAGCCAGUUAUAUACCUCAUGUGAUGUAGUGUAAGCUGUUUUAUGUUUUACUUAAGUAUGAGUUAAAGUAUGUCAAAAUAAAAGAUAAUGUAAGUAUA
Molecule: long non-coding RNA, 501 nt
Organism: Limulus polyphemus (Atlantic horseshoe crab)
Lineage: Eukaryota; Metazoa; Arthropoda; Merostomata; Xiphosura; Limulidae
Exons: 3
Source: RefSeq, a predicted model, not a curated record